AAAAGGACCCUGCCCGGGAUCCUCCCUGAACAUUAUUGCAUUCUUUGCCUAGAUUCUGCAGCCUUGCACUAGUCGCAGAACAUCUUUGCUGAAGAGGUGCUGUGUGCUGGGAGCCCUGGCUCAUUUGAGACUCUUACCUCAUGGGUAGCUCAUGAUUCCUGGAGUAUGCAGUCAUUUUCAUCAUCUCAUUGACAGCUCAUCAUUACUGGAUGUGAUGUACGCUAUCGUUUUCAUCAUUCAAUUUAUAGAUGAGGAAACAGUGCAGAUUUACAGCAGAAAAGGGUACCAAGGGGAUGGAACAGGUUCAUGUUCCUCGACUUCCUAGUUGGAGGUCGCUCUGAAGACUGGCGCAUAGCACCCAGCUCCAAGACUAACUGGCGUUGUUAAUUCUGCAGUGGGUGAAAAGAAACCCCCCAGACCUCAUAAGACAAUGCAGCAUGGUGUUUUCUACAACAGAAGAACAUAUAUGAGACGAAUCUCGGCAGGUAGACCAGAGAAGUGGCUGGAAACAGAACUGACAACUCUUCCACCUGCUGAAGUGUUGGGAGCAGUGAGACCCCAUAUCCUGAAUUUCUUAUAACCCCCAAAUCUGAGUGCCUACAGCUGCUCUGAGCACGAGACCUUCAGGAGUUCCUGAUGGCAGGAGAGUGGUUUCUGGGGAAAAACUUACAGAUCACUAUCUUAGACAACAGCCCUCUGAGCGACCAGGAAUAGAGUCUAGCAGCUGGAAGUGGGAGCCAGAAGCAAGAGAGCAAGCACAUGGCUACCGCUGCUUUUUAAAGCAAAAGAGACCACACCCUAGUGGGCUGGUAUCUUAAAGGCUAUUGGCUGAAUGAGUAGAAUGUUCUCCCAUAGCAAUUGAGAUUCCAGAAGAUGUAGAAAUACAGUGAAGUACAAGGUGAUGAACUCUGCUGGCUGGGGAGAGAAGAACAAACUGGAAGAGCCAAAUUUAUGGAAGGGCUACAUUUACUGGCAGAUCAGCUCUUCCAAAAAGCAGAAGGAUGUCUGUUACUGUGGAGGCGGGCUUUGAGGUCUCAUACAUGUGUGAAUCAUGCCCAGUGAGUGAGUUCGCUUCCUGCUGCCUACAAGACAUAGGAUUCCAGAUCCCUCUUCAGCACCAUAUCUACCUGCACGCCACCAUGGCCCAUCAUAUUAAUAAUUGACUGAACCGCUGAACUCUGAAAAUAUGCUCUUCCUGGGUCUUGACUCUUCUGGCUUUUGAAAUUGGACACUGUCACCAAGUUCCUGAAACCCCACCACUGCUUCCCACAUCCCCUCCCUAGAUCCCACAAACUCACAGCUCUGUACUGAGAAGUCCUUAUAAUAAAAUGCC
This is a long non-coding RNA of Alexandromys fortis (reed vole), 1333 nucleotides long. RefSeq lists it as uncharacterized. NCBI's taxonomy places the organism in Eukaryota, Metazoa, Chordata, Mammalia, Rodentia, Cricetidae. The transcript has 9 exons. The record is from RefSeq and is a predicted model, not a curated record.